This 511-nucleotide ribosomal RNA is filed under the name uncultured archaeon. Its description in RNAcentral is "bacterial SSU rRNA". It matches the Rfam family "Archaeal small subunit ribosomal RNA", at positions 346 to 859 of the family's 1478-position model. The record is from RNAcentral.
ACCUCUGCAAUAGGCGAAAGCCUGACAGGGUUACUCUGAGUGACUUUCGUUAAGAGAGUCUUUUGGCACCUCUAAAAAGGGUGUAGAAUAAGGGGUGGGCAAGUCUGGUGUCAGCCGCCGCGGUAAUACCAGCACCCCGAGUGGUCGGGACGAUUAUUGGGCCUAAAGCAUCCGUAGCCGGUUCUGCAAGUCCUCCGUUAAAUCCAACUGCUUAACAGAUGGGCCGCGGAGGAUACUACAGAGCUAGGAGGCAGGAGAGGCAAGCGGUACUCAGUGGGUAGGGGUAAAAUCCUCUGAUCCACUGAAGACCACCAGUGGCGAAGGCGGUUUGCCAGAACGCGCUCGACGGUGAGGGAUGAAAGCUGGGGGAGCAAACCGGAUUAGAUACCCGGGUAGUCCCAGCUGUAAACGAUGCAGACUCGGUGAUGAAUUGGCUUAUUGCUAAUUCAGUGCCGCAGGGAAGCCGUUAAGUUUGCCGCCUGGGGAGUACGGUCGCAAGACUGAAACUUAA